UCCUAACUUCAAUGCCCUUGGCUCUACCAGUGGAAUUCCCAGCGAUCAGACGACAAGACAGAGGGGUGUGUGUAGUGGUGUGUGUGUGUGUGUGUGUGUGUGUGUGUGUGUGUG
This is a long non-coding RNA of Alosa sapidissima (American shad), 114 nucleotides long. RefSeq lists it as uncharacterized. The record is from RefSeq and is a predicted model, not a curated record. The transcript has 3 exons. Lineage: Eukaryota; Metazoa; Chordata; Actinopteri; Clupeiformes; Clupeidae.